UUAUUCCAUUAAAUAAUCUUUGGCUAAUAAAAUAAUAAUGUAUAAAAAACUGUUUUCCUGGAUAAAAAAAAUUAAUAAAUAUAAUUUUAAAAUAUAUUAUCGACCCAAUACCGACAAAAUUAUCCAAAUUGCUAAUAACCUGUUAAAAUUGCAACCGCCAUUUAAUAAACCAUUACCGGAAAACAGGGAAACACUGUUUUGGAACAAUGCAAUUUGGGGUUCCCCAACUGGUAUUUUAAAAUACCUUAUAUCGGGGACGGUGGAAAAUAAUAAAACCAAUUAAUUUAGAAAAAUAAUUAAUUUUAUAAACCGGGGAAAAGCAAUAUUAUAAAAAUUUACGAAAAACAAAACAAAAAAUAUUCGACGCAAAUUGUUAAAAUUUUUUAUUAGGGACGGUUUAUUAUAUAGGAGAAAAAUCGACGGAACCGUCGCCAAAUACCUAAUAAAUAAGGAAAUUGGCCAAAUUUUAAAAUGGGUUUAUAUGGAAUGCGGAUAUUAUUUAACGGGGACAAUUUUAUAUUUAUUAAAAGGAAAGUUCUGGUGGCCGAUACGGAAUAAAAACGUCCAAAAAUUUUGUUAAAAAUGCCCUAAUUGUUAAAAAAUUGGGCCAAAACAAUUUAAAUUGGAAUACGGGAAAAUAAUUAUUUUAAAACCUUUACAAUUUGUUGGUAUGGAUUUCGCCGGACCGAUUAGAUUUUUUGCAACAAACGGGAUAUCGAUAAUAUUUGUUACCGUUAAUUAUUUUAUAUAAUUUGUUAUAAUAAAAAUUAUAAAAUAUUUAAUAUUAGCAAUUAACGUUGGGGAUAUUUGGUUGUUUAACUGGUUUCCCUUUUUUGGCUGGUUAACUGCCACUAUUACGGAUAACGGUAACCAUUUCGCGAACGUGAAAUUUAAGAAUUUUCUUGCGAAAAAAGGAAUUAUAAUAAAGUUCGGGCCUAUUAUAUAUCCACAAAUUAUUGGCCUCCCCGAAAAUACUAUAAAAUUCCUAAAAAAACAAUUCCAAUUUUGGGUUUUAAUAAUUCCGAAAAACAAAUGGCCGUUAUAAUAUUGUACUGUCCCUAUUAUAAUUAAUAAAAUUAAUAAUAAAUAUAUUAAAAAAUUAAAUAUUUUACCCUCGAUAAUUAUAAUAAAUAUAUCCCCAUUAAAAAUUCCGGUGGAAUUGGAAAAAAUAAGGGAACGGGGUAUUUAGGAUAAAUUCGAGCUGAUACCGGAUAAAAUUAAAUAAAACAAAGUUAAUAUUAUUUAAAAAUCCCGGAAAAUCCUGGCGGAUAAAUUUGCGGGGCAAUAUAAUACCUGGGAUAACCCGAAACGUUACCCCAAAAUUCCAAUGGGCAUUUUAAUUCUGGAAAAACGUAACAAAUAGGGAAAAAACCCAUCGAAAUUGGAAUUUGUGUAAAAAAGACCGUUUAUUAUAAUUAAAUAAUCCAAAAAUCGAUUAUCGGUAAAAAUUAAAAAAAUUAAUAGGACAGAAUUUACCAGGAAAAUUUAUAUUUACGAUAUUAAAAUAUAGAAAAAAUUUAAUAAUAAAUUGACGGGUUUGCUUUCCGAAUAUAUUAAUAAACUGGAUACCGCUUUGGAAAAUAAUAAUUGGAAUUUGGAAAUAUUUAUUGCCGGCCUGAAAAUUUAACCGGGAAUUCGUUUUUGCCUUUAUUAUUAAAAAAAGUGGGGCACCCCGAAUAUAAAUCCGCGGCGAACAAUCUUUUUCGAUAACCAUUACGAUAUUUCCCACAAUAUUAAUUUUUCACCACCGUUUUUUAUAUCCAACGUAUUUAAUUCCCCAACUACAAUUUUGCUUUUAUUUUAAUUUAUUAUAAAAAUUUUAAAAAAUAAAUAUUUUGAAAAAUUUCGAUAUUUUUAUUACAUUUCGAAUUUGAAUAUUACGUUUGUUUGGUUCCUAACGGAACCAGAUUAUUUUAAAUUUAUUUUAAUUUCUUUUUUCUUUCUUUUUUAUUAUAGCAAUUCCACGUUUUGAAAUUCCCCAAUUGGCCUUUUGCAAACAAUUUUAAUAUUUUGCCGGAAAAUAUUUCAUUUUUCCAUUAGGUUAAUUUUAUUUAACUUUAUUUUUUAUUAUAUUAUUUCACAAAAUUCCCAUUAAAUACCCACCGUUCUUAUAUUUUACUUUAAUUUUACUUUAUUUUGUCCAACAUUUUCAUUUAUUAUAAAUAAUAUGGAUAUUAUAAAAAUUGCGGCCGUUUUUAACGAAAUUAUUAAUAUGGAGACCACGGAAAAUAAUAAUAACCAAAGUUUUUUUUACAAUAAAAUUAACAUUGGAAAACCUAAAAAUUUUAAAAAUCCCAAAAACUUUAAAAAUUCCAAGGAUUUUUCUUUAAAAAAUAAUGGUAACCAAAGUUUUUUUUACAAUAAGAUUAAUACCGGAAACCCUAACAAUUCUAAAAAUCCCAAGAAUUCCGAAAAAUAUAAAAACUUUGAAAUUCGCAAAAAUUCCCCCACAAAUAAUAAUAAUAACCAAAGCUCUUUUUAUAAUAAAAAUAAUAUGGAAAUCCUUAAAAAUUCUAAGGAUCCCGAAAACUCCGGAAACCCUGAAAAUUUUAAAAACCUGGAGGACUUUGGAAAUAAUCCUAUUACCGACAAUAAUAUUUAAAACGACGGAAAUUCCAAUAAUAACGGGAGCAAUAUAAUAAAUACGGUGCCAAUUGUUAAUUUUAUCGCUCCCUAUAACGACCAAAAUAUAAAAAACCCUCGAAUUACCUGGGACGACGUUAACCAAAAUACCAAAAAAUUAUUUCAAUUAUUUUUUCCUAAAAAUUCCAUUUGGGAAAAAUUUAAUUAAAACGCCAUACGUUUCCGAUUAAUUUCCAAUAAAUGGAGCAGGUUAUCCCUAAUCGCCAGGAAAUAAUCCAUUUACAAAUAAUUUAAAUGGGAAUAUUAUUAUCCCGAAAUUCCCCGAUAUUAUAAUUUUAACUGGAAUUUUCGUGGGUUUUUCGGCCAUUUGGGAAACCAUUUUCGAAAUUUUACCUUUGUAAUUCGAAAUAUAUAUACCGUUUUUAUUAAAAAAUAUAUUAAAUAAUUUCAAAUUACCCCGAAUUUUAUAAAGGGAAACGAAAUAAUUUCCGCUUAUAAUAAUAAUUAAAUAAAGGCGAAAUUCCCGAUUAUUACAAUACCUAACCCUGAAAAGAUUUAUUCGGCGUAUAUAAUAAAGGGAAACCGGAAAAAAACGUAUCGAAAUUAGGAUUUUUUCGACGCAUUUCCUUACGAAAAAUAGGAAAUUUGGUUAAACCAAAUUUUUAUUAAUAUAUAAAACGGUUAUAAUAAAUUUUACCGGUUUUUCCCCGAAAAAAAAAAAAAAAAAAUAAUAAUCGUUUGGAAAAAACGAAUAAAAAAAUUAUUCGAUUUAUUACCAAAUUGGGACGAAAUAAUAUUAAAUUGGGAAUUUUUACAAUCCUGGUUUACGCAAAUUACGACCCGGGCCGUAAAUAUAAAUUUUAUAUUGGAUAAUAUAAAGGACGAAAUUAUUCCAAAUAUCGAUUUGUUAAGGAAUUUAAUCGGAUUUUAAAGAAAAUCCAGUUUUUUUGGGGAGCCGGUAACGCCCAAAAAUGCGGUUUUAAUUUUAAAAAACAAAUGGACGCAAUACGUGGACGAUACCCUUUACCAGGGUAUAUUAACGCCAUCCACCUAAUUUUUAUAUUAAUAGCGAUAAUAAUUACGAGGGACGGUUAAAAAAUGGAAAAGGUUUACCAGGUUAAUAUAUAAAAUUUGGCGCACCCUAAUAUUUUUUUGGACAAUAAUUCGCAUUUUUACCGGAAUUGGUCGUUCGGGAAUUAUUUUAAAAAUUAUAUAAUGUUUUUUAAAAAGAUUUUCCAGGGGAAGAGGGAUAACGAAAAAAUUUUUAAAAGUUGGAAUAAUAAAAACACGAACAAUUUCUAAUAUUAUAUCCCAACCGUCUUUAAUAAAUAUGCGAAAUAUAUUACCGGCGAUUUUAAUUAAUUUAUCGAAAAAAAAAGGACCAAACAAUUCGACGUUCGAAAAUCCAAAAAUAUUAAAAUUGGACAAAAAAAACAAAGGGAAUUUAACGAAACCCAAAAGCCAAAAAAAAAACCAAAAUUAAAAAAGAAUAAAAAAAUUAUAAAAACCGUAUUAACGUAAUUAUUAUUAAUACGAAAAAAGUUUUGCGGUAUAUAAUUACCACGAUGGAAAUACACCAAAAUAUUAUAAAGAAUUUCGAAAACGAUAUAAAAGCCGGAUAUUUCUCGAUGGAUAUUGCAAUUAAUUAAAAAACGGAAAAUAUAAAGGGAGAUUUGCAAAUUUUAAUAAAAAAUAUGGAAACCAAAUAUUAGCGUCUAUAUAAAAUUGUUAAAUAUU
This 4320-nucleotide small RNA is filed under the name Pyricularia oryzae. Its description in RNAcentral is "Magnaporthe oryzae sRNA M_BR32_EuGene_00050911". The record is from RNAcentral. Lineage: Eukaryota; Fungi; Ascomycota; Sordariomycetes; Magnaporthales; Pyriculariaceae.